UAGGGAAUCUUCCGCAAUGGACGAAAGUCUGACGGAGCAAUGCCGCGUGAAUGAAGAAGGUCUUCGGAUCGUAAAAUUCUGUUGUUAGAGAAGAACAAGGAGUAGGUAACUACUACUCCCUUGACGGUAUCUAACCAGAAAGCCACGGCUAACUACGUGCCAGCAGCCGCGGUAAUACGUAGGUGGCAAGCGUUGUCCGGAUUUAUUGGGCGUAAAGGGAGCGCAGGCGGUGACUUAAGUCUGAUGUGAAAGCCCACGGCUCAACCGUGGAAGGUCAUUGGAAACUGGGUCACUUGAAUAUAGAAGAGGAAAGUGGAAUUCCAUGUGUAGCGGUGAAAUGCGUAGAUAUAUGGAGGAACACCAGUGGCGAAGGCGACUUUCUGGUCUAUUAUUGACGCUGAGGCUCGAAAGCAUGGGUAGCAAACAGG
Molecule: ribosomal RNA, 428 nt
Filed under: uncultured prokaryote
Also listed under: 1 other name
Description: bacterial SSU rRNA
Rfam family: Bacterial small subunit ribosomal RNA
Source: RNAcentral